GACGAACGCUGGCGGCGUGCUUAACACAUGCAAGUCGAACGGGCCUUGUCCCCUUUUUUUUUGGGGGUGGGGUUAGUGGCGAACGGGUGAGUAACACGUGAGUAACCUGCCCCUCACUUCUGGAUAACCGCUUGAAAGGGUGGCUAAUACGGGGUGUUCUGGCCUGCUCGCAUGGGUGGGUUUGGAAAGAUUCGACCGGUUUUGGUUGUUUUGGUGGGGGAUGGGCUCGCGGCCUAUCAGCUUGUUGGUGGGGUGGUGGCCUGCCAAGGCUUUGACGGGUAGCCGGCCUGAGAGGGUGGGCGGUCACACUGGGACUGAGACACGGCCCAGACUCCUACGGGAGGCAGCAGUGGGGAAUAUUGCACAAUGGGCGCAAGCCUGAUGCAGCGACGCCGCGUGAGGGAUGGAGGCCUUCGGGUUGUGAACCUCUUUCGCCAGUGAAGAAGGUCCUGCUCUUUGUGGUGGGGUUGACGGUAGCUGGGUUAAUGAAGCGCCGGCUAACUACGUG
RNAcentral lists this ribosomal RNA (508 nucleotides) under uncultured bacterium. RNAcentral describes it as "partial 16S ribosomal RNA". It matches the Rfam family "Bacterial small subunit ribosomal RNA", at positions 28 to 507 of the family's 1533-position model. The record is from RNAcentral.